Molecule: ribosomal RNA, 483 nt
Filed under: uncultured bacterium
Lineage: Bacteria
Description: partial 16S ribosomal RNA
Rfam family: Bacterial small subunit ribosomal RNA
Source: RNAcentral
AUUGAACGCUGGCGGCAGGCCUAACACAUGCAAGUCGAGCGGAUGAAGGGAGCUUGCUCCUGGAUUCAGCGGCGGACGGGUGAGUAAUGCCUAGGAAUCUGCCUGGUAGUGGGGGAUAACGUCCGGAAACGGGCGCUAAUACCGCAUACGUCCUGAGGGAGAAAGUGGGGGAUCUUCGGACCUCACGCUAUCAGAUGAGCCUAGGUCGGAUUAGCUAGUUGGUGGGGUAAAGGCCUACCAAGGCGACGAUCCGUAACUGUCUGAGAGGAUGAUCAGUCACACUGGAACUGAGAAACGGUCCAGACUCCUACGGGGGGCAGAAGUGGGGAAUAUUGGACAAUGGGCGAAAGCCUGAUCCAGCCAUGCCGCGUGUGUGAAGAAGGUCUUCGGAUUGUAAAGCACUUUAAGUUGGGAGGAAGGGCAGUAAGUUAAUACCUUGCUGUUUUGACGUUACCAACAGAAUAAGCACCGGCUAACUUCGUG